Molecule: ribosomal RNA, 253 nt
Filed under: uncultured bacterium
Lineage: Bacteria
Description: partial 16S ribosomal RNA
Rfam family: Bacterial small subunit ribosomal RNA
Source: RNAcentral
UACGUAUGGGGCGAGCGUUACCCGGCUUCACUGGGCGUAAAGGGCGCGUAGGCGGUCUGUCGCGUCUGCUGUGAAAACUCGGGGCUUAACCCCGGGCCUGCAGUGGGUACGGGCAGACUAGAGUGCGGUAGGGGAGACUGGAAUUCCUGGUGUAGCGGUGAAAUGCGCAGAUAUCAGGAGGAACACCGGUGGCGAAGGCGGGUCUCUGGGCCGUAACUGACGCUGAGGAGCGAAAGCGUGGGGAGCGAACAGG